GCGUUAUCGUUUGCACCAAUAGAGCUGAGCUCAGCAUUCUGGAAAAAAUUAUGCCCUCUCCACAGUAUUUUACGACCUGCAGUGCAGUAGUCGGCAGGGUCAUUCAGCCCAGGGCUUGUCUGGUUCUUUCGGGGGUUGUAGACUCUAUUUUCUACCUUACAGUCCCUGCUUCAGGCCAACCAGGAGAGAUUACAUUCAAUUCAAUCAUCCUUAGCCCAGCAGUUGUCCUUUUUUACCAUCUGUUAUCAUAUCUCCUCUCUCCCGUCUGCCUGGGCUGAGAGGGAGGGAGGAGCGGCUCUCAGAUCUGCGCUCUGACUCAGGCAAUAACAUGUUAUAUAUGACCAGGAAUGGAGACAGAUGUCUGUGAAAGAUCAUUCCCUGGAUUGAAGAAGGACUCUGGGGAGGCAAGCCUCUUAAUGGCUCUCGUGUCACAUAAUGUGCUCUAUUUUAUCUUCAUUGCAAAACACUCAUUGUUCUUUUGCUCACUUACUGCCUUGAGCAACCUUAAUCAUCAAAAUUUGAAAUGCUUUGGCCAAGAGUGUCACAAUUUUUGGCAGAUCAACCCUCAUGUUUGUCUCCCUGAGGCAGUGCUGCUUGUCGGCAGUCACAGAUAUAGGGAAAGAGCCCUCGUAUCAUGACAAGGAGUACGCUCUGUCUCACAAGCAUGGAGAGAGCAUUUUCAGGGGAUGUGUGUACUUGUACGAUCCGGUACAUUUUCCUACCUGCAGUGUGUGCUGUCAGCUGUAGUAUACAAUAAGCCUAUGUAAUACAGGCAGCUCAUCACUCACCAUCGCCUGUGUGAAUAUGUGCACUCUGGGAGAAAAAAGCAAGCAGCCAUUGCUUUCACAUCUUCUUUUUGUUUAUGUGCAAAUUUUCCCAUAAUGUCUACAUAAUGUUGGUUGAGAUUUACAGAGAUUAAAGAAUAUUUAAGUAGUGGAGUUCAGUCUUUCUAUUGUCAAUACUUCAUAUUUUAAAUAUAAGAAGACACCUUGUUAAUUCACAAUUCUGUAAAAAAUCCAUAAGAAAUUCUGGAAAAGGUAAUUGUAGCUAUUAAAUUCGUGACACCUUGACUGGUGCAUAAUCACCAUAAUCAUGUGCUGCUGUUAGAAUCUGCCACUGAAACUGUUACAAAUAAAUAAAUAAAAUAAACUGUUUGACAUUUAAUAUUUUAAUUAUACACCUCCAGCUGAAUGCC
Molecule: long non-coding RNA, 1195 nt
Organism: Ictalurus furcatus (blue catfish)
Lineage: Eukaryota; Metazoa; Chordata; Actinopteri; Siluriformes; Ictaluridae
Exons: 4
Source: RefSeq, a predicted model, not a curated record